GACGAACGCUGGCGGCGUGCUUAACACAUGCAAGUCGAACGGAAAGGCCCUGCUUUUGUGGGGUGCUCGAGUGGCGAACGGGUGAGUAACACGUGAGUAACCUGCCCUUGACUUUGGGAUAACUUCAGGAAACUGGGGCUAAUACCGGAUAGGAGCUCCUGCUGCAUGGUGGGGGUUGGAAAGUUUCGGCGGUUGGGGAUGGACUCGCGGCUUAUCAGCUUGUUGGUGGGGUAGUGGCUUACCAAGGCUUUGACGGGUAGCCGGCCUGAGAGGGUGACCGGCCACAUUGGGACUGAGAUACGGCCCAGACUCCUACGGGAGGCAGCAGUGGGGAAUAUUGCACAAUGGGCGGAAGCCUGAUGCAGCAACGCCGCGUGCGGGAUGACGGCCUUCGGGUUGUAAACCGCUUUCGCCUGUGACGAAGCGUGAGUGACGGUAAUGGGUAAAGAAGCACCGGCUAACUACGUGCCAGCAGCCGCGGUGAUACGUAGGGUGCGAGCGUUGUCCGGAUUUAUUGGGCGUAAAGGGCUCGUAGGUGGUUGAUCGCGUCGGAAGUGUAAUCUUGGGGCUUAACCCUGAGCGUGCUUUCGAUACGGGUUGACUUGAGGAAGGUAGGGGAGAAUGGAAUUCCUGGUGGAGCGGUGGAAUGCGCAGAUAUCAGGAGGAACACCAGUGGCGAAGGCGGUUCUCUGGGCCUUUCCUGACGCUGAGGAGCGAAAGCGUGGGGAGCGAACAGGCUUAGAUACCCUGGUAGUCCACGCUGUAAACGGUGGGUACUAGGUGUGGGGUCCAUUCCACGGGUUCCGUGCCGUAGCUAACGCUUUAAGUACCCCGCCUGGGGAGUACGGCCGCAAGGCUAAAACUCAAAGGAAUUGACGGGGCCCCGCACAAGCGGCGGAGCAUGCGGAUUAAUUCGAUGCAACGCGUAGAACCUUACCUGGGUUUGACAUGGAUCGGGAGUGCUCAGAGAUGGGUGUGCCUCUUUUGGGGUCGGUUCACAGGUGGUGCAUGGCUGUCGUCAGCUCGUGUCGUGAGAUGUUGGGUUAAGUCCCGCAACGAGCGCAACCCUUGUCCACUGUUGCCAGCACGUUAUGGUGGGGACUCAGUGGAGACCGCCGGGGUCAACUCGGAGGAAGGUGGGGAUGACGUCAAGUCAUCAUGCCCCUUAUGUCCAGGGCUUCACGCAUGCUACAAUGGCUGGUACAGAGAGUGGCGAGCCUGUGAGGGUGAGCGACUCUCGGAAAGCCGGUCUCAGUUCGGAUUGGGGUCUGCAACUCGACCUCAUGAAGUCGGAGUCGCUAGUAAUCGCAGAUCAGCAACGCUGCGGUGAAUACGUUCCCGGGGCU
Molecule: ribosomal RNA, 1346 nt
Filed under: uncultured bacterium
Lineage: Bacteria
Description: partial 16S ribosomal RNA
Rfam family: Bacterial small subunit ribosomal RNA
Source: RNAcentral